AUUGAACGCUGGCGGCAUGCUUUACACAUGCAAGUCGGACGGCAGCACAGAGAAGCUUGCUUCUUGGGUGGCGAGUGGCGAACGGGUGAGUAACAUAUCGGAACGUACCGAGCAGUGGGGGAUAACUAAUCGAAAGAUUAGCUAAUACCGCAUAUCUUCUGAGGAAGAAAGCAGGGGACCAUUUGGCCUUGCGCUGUUUGAGCGGCCGAUAUCUGAUUAGCUAGUUGGUGGGGUAAAGGCCUACCAAGGCGACGAUCAGUAGCGGGUCUGAGAGGAUGAUCCGCCACACUGGGACUGAGACACGGCCCAGACUCCUACGGGAGGCAGCAGUGGGGAAUUUUGGACAAUGGGCGCAAGCCUGAUCCAGCCAUGCCGCGUGUCUGAAGAAGGCCUUCGGGUUGUAAAGGACUUUUGUCAGGGAAGAAAAGGGCGGGGUUAAUACCCCUGUUCUGAUGACGGACCUGAAGAAAAGCCCC
Molecule: ribosomal RNA, 476 nt
Filed under: Neisseria sicca
Lineage: Bacteria; Pseudomonadati; Pseudomonadota; Betaproteobacteria; Neisseriales; Neisseriaceae
Description: bacterial SSU rRNA
Rfam family: Bacterial small subunit ribosomal RNA
Source: RNAcentral